Molecule: ribosomal RNA, 909 nt
Filed under: Trichocladium griseum
Lineage: Eukaryota; Fungi; Ascomycota; Sordariomycetes; Sordariales; Chaetomiaceae
Description: partial 28S ribosomal RNA
Rfam family: Eukaryotic large subunit ribosomal RNA
Source: RNAcentral
GGUUGACCUCGGAUCAGGUAGGAAGACCCGCUGAACUUAAGCAUAUCAAUAAGCGGAGGAAAAGAAACCAACAGGGAUUGCCCUAGUAACGGCGAGUGAAGCGGCAACAGCUCAAAUUUGAAAUCUGGCUUCGGCCCGAGUUGUAAUUUGUAGAGGAUGCUUUGGGCGCGGCUCUAACUGAGUUCCCUGGAACGGGACGCCACAGAGGGUGAGAGCCCCGUAUAGUUAGAUGCCUAGCCUAUGUAAAGCUCCUUCGACGAGUCGAGUAGUUUGGGAAUGCUGCUCUAAAUGGGAGGUAAAUUUCUUCUAAAGCUAAAUAUUGGCCAGAGACCGAUAGCGCACAAGUAGAGUGAUCGAAAGAUGAAAAGCACUUUGAAAAGAGGGUUAAAUAGCACGUGAAAUUGUUGAAAGGGAAGCGCUUGUGACCAGACUUGCGCCGGGCAGAUCAUCCGGUGUUCUCACCGGUGCACUCUGCCCGGCUCAGGCCAGCAUCGGUUCUCGUGGGGGGAUAAAGGUCCCGGGAACGUAGCUCCUCCGGGAGUGUUAUAGCCCGGGGCGUAAUGCCCUCGUGGGGACCGAGGUUCGCGCAUCUGCAAGGAUGCUGGCGUAAUGGUCAUCAGCGACCCGUCUUGAAACACGGACCAAGGAGUCAAGGUUUUGCGCGAGUGUUUGGGUGUAAAACCCGCACGCGUAAUGAAAGUGAACGUAGGUGAGAGCUUCGGCGCAUCAUCGACCGAUCCUGAUGUAUUCGGAUGGAUUUGAGUAAGAGCGUUAAGCCUUGGACCCGAAAGAUGGUGAACUAUGCUUGGAUAGGGUGAAGCCAGAGGAAACUCUGGUGGAGGCUCGCAGCGGUUCUGACGUGCAAAUCGAUCGUCAAAUCUGAGCAUGGGGGCGAAAGACUAAUCGAAC